GACGAACGCUGGCGGCGUGCCUAAUACAUGCAAGUAGAACGCUGAAGAGAGGAGCUUGCUCUUCUUGGAUGAGUUGCGAACGGGUGAGUAACGCGUAGGUAACCUGCCUUGUAGCGGGGGAUAACUAUUGGAAACGAUAGCUAAUACCGCAUAACAAUGGAUGACACAUGUCAUUUAUUUGAAAGGGGCAAUUGCUCCACUACAAGAUGGACCUGCGUUGUAUUAGCUAGUAGGUGAGGUAAUGGCUCACCUAGGCGACGAUACAUAGCCGACCUGAGAGGGGGAUCGGCCACACUGGGACUGAGACACGGCCCAGACUCCUACGGGAGGCAGCAGUAGGGAAUCUUCGGCAAUGGGGGCAACCCUGACCGAGCAACGCCGCGUGAGUGAAGAAGGUUUUCGGAUCGUAAAGCUCUGUUGUAAGUCAAGAACGGGUGUGAGAGUGGAAAGUUCACACUGUGACGGUAGCUUAACAGAAAGGGACGGCUAACUACGUG
RNAcentral lists this ribosomal RNA (497 nucleotides) under uncultured bacterium. Its description in RNAcentral is "partial 16S ribosomal RNA". It matches the Rfam family "Bacterial small subunit ribosomal RNA", at positions 28 to 507 of the family's 1533-position model. The record is from RNAcentral.